RNAcentral lists this ribosomal RNA (508 nucleotides) under Protohermes niger. RNAcentral's name for it is "partial 16S ribosomal RNA". It matches the Rfam family "Bacterial large subunit ribosomal RNA", at positions 1830 to 2594 of the family's 2925-position model. The record is from RNAcentral. Lineage: Eukaryota; Metazoa; Arthropoda; Insecta; Megaloptera; Corydalidae.
GUCUUUUAGAUCAUAAUUUAAAGUCUAACCUGCCCACUGAAUUUAUUUGAAGGGCCGCGGUAUUUUGACUGUGCAAAGGUAGCAUAAUCAUUAGUCUUUUAAUUGAAGGCUUGUAUGAAUGGUUGGAUGAAACAUUAACUGUCUCAAUUUAAUAAAAUUAGAAUUUAAUUUUUAAGUUAAAAAGCUUAAAUUAAAUUAGAGGACGAGAAGACCCUAUAGAUCUUUAUAAUUAAUUAUUUAUUAUUAAUAUAGAAAAUUAAUUAAUGUUAUUUAAUAAAUUAUUUUAUUGGGGUGAUAAAUAAAUUUAGUAAACUUUAUUUUAUAAAAACAUUUAUUUAUGAAUAUUUGAUCCAUUAUUAAUGAUUAAAAGAUUAAGUUACCUUAGGGAUAACAGCGUAAUUUUUUUAGAGAGUUCUUAUCGAUAAAAAAGUUUGCGACCUCGAUGUUGAAUUAAAGGUUAAUUUUAGGUGCAGAAGUUUAAAGUUUUGGUCUGUUCGACCAUUAAAUC